ACACGUGUGCACUGCCUUAUCUGGGGAAUAGCUUCGAAGAGAUUAUACCCCAUAUAUGUUGAAUGGCAUCAUUCGACAUUGAACUCCGGUGGAUAGAGAUGGGCACGCGCAGAUAAAUAGUUGGUGAGGUACGGUCACAAGUCUACGAUCUUUAGGGGGCUGAGAGGUGAUCCCCCAACUGGUACUGAAACACGGACAAACUCCUACGGGAGGCACUGAGGAUAUUGGACAAUGGGUGAGAGCCUGAUCCAGGCCAUCCCGCGUGAAGGACGACUGCCCUAUGGGUUGUAAACUUCUUUUGUAUAGGGGAUAAACCUACCCUCGUGAGGGUAGCUGAAGGUACUAUACGAAUAAGCACCGGGUUAACUCCGUGCCAGCAAGCCGGGUAAUACGUAAGGUGCGAGCGUUAAUCGGAAUUACUGGGCGUAAAGCGUGCGCAGGCGGUUUGGUAAGUCAGAUGUGAAAUCCCCGGGCUCAACCUGGGAAACUGCAUUUGGAGACUGCCAAGCUGGAGUUUGGCAGAGGGGGGUGGAAUUCCACGUGUAGCAGUGAAAUGCGUAGAGAUGUGGAGGAACACCGGAUGGCGAAGGGCAGCCCCCU
Molecule: ribosomal RNA, 600 nt
Filed under: uncultured bacterium
Lineage: Bacteria
Description: bacterial SSU rRNA
Rfam family: Bacterial small subunit ribosomal RNA
Source: RNAcentral